This 611-nucleotide long non-coding RNA is filed under the name Equus asinus (donkey). RNAcentral's name for it is "lncRNA (ENSEASG00005033183.1)". The record is from RNAcentral. Lineage: Eukaryota; Metazoa; Chordata; Mammalia; Perissodactyla; Equidae.
CGCUCUGGAAGCAGCCAGCGCGCGCUAGGGGCCCUGGAUGAGGACCGCGUCUGUGACACACCGCCCACCCCUCAUCCCCGAGGCGGGCACCCGGGAACCUGGGCGGCUCCAUCCUUUCGUCUCGCCCUCCCCGCGCCGUGUACCUAGAAACAACCAGCAGAGGGGAAGAGGAGCCCGCGGGAAGAACCGCAGGCGAGACGGAGAAUGAGGGCCAUUCAGGGUGUGACAGCCGCCUCGGCGAGGCUUAGAGGGACUCACCAGGCAGAUACGCAGGUCAGCUGGUCGAGCAAAAGUAGGCCUGCAAGACGUCGUGAUGUGAUGGCAGGGGACGACACAAUGCCUGCGUGAGGAGAUGCAGUGAGAUUGAAAUAGUUCUUCAAGUUCGAGAAGACAGAAGCAAAAUGAAAUUUGAGUAACAAACAUUGUCUCUGUUGAUAGCUGACAUAAAUGAAUAUUCCCCCUGAACAGUAUGACUAUUUCUACCCAUCCUUGUAUUUCUCUUUCUCUGAACAUAGCUUUAAAAAUCCCAAAUCUUUUUUUACUACUGUUUUAGAGUAUUUAGUAAACAUAACCAUAUCGUGAGCUUUGUUAUCCAGACACCAUUAUUUCUU